Molecule: ribosomal RNA, 292 nt
Filed under: uncultured Planctomycetota bacterium
Lineage: Bacteria; Pseudomonadati; Planctomycetota
Description: uncultured planctomycete partial 16S ribosomal RNA
Source: RNAcentral
GGACUACUAGGGUUUCUAAUCCCGUUUGCUCCCCUGGCUUUCGCGCCUCAGCGUCAGAUGAGGUCCAGCAGGGCGCUUUCGCCACCGGCGUUCCUUCCGAUAUCAACGCAUUUCACCGCUCCACCGGAAGUUCCCCCUGCCCCUACCUCGCUCAAGCUGACCAGUAUCGAAGGCACUUUUCCGGUUAAGCCGAAAGAUUUCACCCCCGACUGGGUCAGCCGCCUACGCGCCCUUUAAGCCCAGUGAUUCCGAACAACGUUCGCACGGUUCGUCUUACCGCGGCUGCUGGCAC